ACGCACGCUGGCGGCGUGCUUAACACAUGCAAGUCGAGCGGAAAGGCCCUUCGGGGUACUCGAGCGGCGAACGGGUGAGUAACACGUGAGUAACCUGCCCCAGACUUUGGGAUAACCCUCGGAAACGGGGGCUAAUACCGGAUACGACACAGCUUCGCAUGGGGUCUGUGUGGAAAGUUUUUCGGUUUGGGAUGGGCUCGCGGCCUAUCAGCUUGUUGGUGGGGUGAUGGCCUACCAAGGCGACGACGGGUAGCCGGCCUGAGAGGGCGACCGGCCACACUGGGACUGAGACACGGCCCAGACUCCUACGGGAGGCAGCAGUGGGGAAUAUUGCACAAUGGGCGGAAGCCUGAUGCAGCGACGCCGCGUGAGGGAUGAUGGCCUUCGGGUUGUAAACCUCUUUCAGCAGGGACGAAGCGUAAGUGACGGUACCUGCAGAAGAAGCGCUGGCCAACUACGUG
Molecule: ribosomal RNA, 461 nt
Filed under: uncultured bacterium
Lineage: Bacteria
Description: partial 16S ribosomal RNA
Rfam family: Bacterial small subunit ribosomal RNA
Source: RNAcentral